AUGAGUGACAUGCUUCACACACAUACCCAGGGCUGCUUGUGGUUGUCUCAAGUUUGGCAUUUACAGUUGAAUCCUCUGGUUCCACUCCACUGCCUUCAUCCUUUUUCUCUGGUGCUCGAUUCUCCUGGUUCAACCUGGAGCCCGGAAGAGCGCCACCUUGUCAUCCUCCACCCUUUACAGAAUCGAGAAGGGAAAGCAGCCUGAGGAGGUGGCAGCAGUGGGGAUGAUCUCCGGCUUCCUGCCUUCCCACCCUGGGGUGAGUGACCAGUGUUCCCUCUCUCCUUUCUUGACCCUAGAUGGCUUUCUUUCCCUCUCAUGGGUGGCAGCUUGACUGAGGCCUCUCUGGCCUGAACCUCAGUGGUGGGCUCCUGGAGGGGGAGCUUUUUCCCCAAGCCCUCCUGUGAGGAUCCCCCCACAAUAACCACAGACUCCCAGGAUCCAACUGGUCUGGACUCAGGGCAGGAGACUAGGCCAGAGGGUUGCUGAGGAUCCCAUUGGUGGUGGGGGUGGCCCUGGAGGGCUGGUGGGGGCCAGGCAGGGCCUGACAGACCUCCCAGAGC
Molecule: long non-coding RNA, 560 nt
Filed under: Monodelphis domestica (gray short-tailed opossum)
Lineage: Eukaryota; Metazoa; Chordata; Mammalia; Didelphimorphia; Didelphidae
Description: lncRNA (ENSMODG00000047626.1)
Source: RNAcentral